This 1140-nucleotide ribosomal RNA is filed under the name Drepanaphis utahensis. Its description in RNAcentral is "partial 16S large subunit ribosomal RNA". The record is from RNAcentral. Lineage: Eukaryota; Metazoa; Arthropoda; Insecta; Hemiptera; Aphididae.
AUUAAUUUAUAAAAAUAAUUUAUGUAUUUUUUGUUUUAGUAUUAAGUAAAAAAUAAUUUUUAGUUUAAUAGUUUAUUAGUAUUGUGAAAGAAUAUAAUUUAAAUUUAUUAAAGAAUUUUAAAAGUACCUUUUGUAUCAGGGUUGAUUAAAAUUUUUAAUUUAUUUUAAAUUCUCAAAAUUUAUAGAGUUAAUUUUAUUAUUAAUUUAUUGUUAUAAAAAUAUUUAUAAAAUAUUAUUAGUUUUGAAAUUUAAUUCGUUAUAUUAUAUUUAGUUAUUUAAGAAUUAAAUUUAAUUUAAAAUUUUAAAAGUUUUUUUAAUUUAAAUUAUUUUAUAUUUUAAAAUUAAAUUAUUUUAGGGAUAAGCUUAAAAUUUUUAUAUAAUAACUAAAUUUUAUUAAAAUAAUUAAUAGGAUUAGAAAUUUUUAAUUUAAGUUUGUAAAAAUUUAUUAUUUAUUAAGUUUAAAUUUAUUAAAAUUUAUUUUAUUUAUUUUUUAUAUUAAAUUUUAUAAUUUAAUUAUUUAUUUAUAGUAAUAAUGAUUGAAUUAGUAUAAUUAAUUUAUUUAUAAAUUAUGAAUUCGGCAAAUUUUAUUUUCAUCUGUUUAACAAAAACAUUGUAUUAAGUUUAAUUUAAUAUAGGAUCUGCUCAAUGAUUAAAUUAAAUAGCUGCAGUAUUUUGACUGUGCAAAGGUAGCAUAAUAAUUAGUCUUUUAAUUGGGGACUUGAAUGAAAGAUUUGAUGAGAAAUAAGCUUUAUUGUUUAUAAAAUUAAAAUUUUAUUUUUAAGUAAAAAAGCUUAAAUAUUUUAAAGGGACGAUAAGACCCUAUAAAACUUUAUAAAUUUUUAAUUUUAAGGUUUUGGUAAAAUAAAUUUAUUUAAAAUUUAAAAUUUUAUUUUGUUGGGGUGAUAAAAAAAAAUAUUUAACUUUUUUUAAAUUUAUUCAUUUAUAUGUGUUGAUUUUGAAUUAAAAUUUUUAAUUAUAAGAAAAAGUUACUUUAGGGAUAACAGCGUAAUUAAAUUUUUAAGUUCAAAUUUAAAAUUUAGUUUGCGACCUCGAUGUUGAAUUAAGAAAAAUCUUAGGUGCAAAAUUUUAAGUGUUAGGUCUGUUCGACCUUUAAANUCUUACAUGAUUUGAGUUCAAACC